GUCCCCGUCGUCCAGUGGUCAGGACAUCGCCCUUUCACGGCGGUAACACGGGUUCGAAUCCCGUCGGGGACGCCA
This 75-nucleotide transfer RNA is filed under the name Granulicella sp. 5B5. Its description in RNAcentral is "tRNA-Glu". It matches the Rfam family "tRNA". From Rfam's summary of the family: Transfer RNA (tRNA) molecules are approximately 80 nucleotides in length. Their secondary structure includes four short double-helical elements and three loops (D, anti-codon, and T loops). Lineage: Bacteria; Pseudomonadati; Acidobacteriota; Terriglobia; Terriglobales; Acidobacteriaceae. The record is from RNAcentral.